UACAAUAAGACGAUAUGGUUCUGUUGGCUGUUAGUCGAAGGGGGCGUAUAGUGGUAAUUUUAUUUUUAAUGAAUUCACCAUGUUCUUCCAUAUUGCAUUUAUUACAACUGGAAGUUUCCUAUGGCAAUUUGAAGAUAUGUGAAAAUGUGUGUUUAUCUUUAUCUGCCGACAAGUGCCCCUAGGCUGUCGACAUUUUUCAUCACUUGACAACCGACGAAGAUGCACACAGUAAAUGCGAUAAAAACGAUGAACAACUUCAUGUGUCGGGGCCUUCACAAUUUUCUAAAUAUACACGAACACUAUUUUGUUCCCCUUUUAUUUUUGUUUCUUAUCAACAAAUCCCCUUCGACUACACUCUUUUACUCCAAGGAGUUGCACAUGUUUCCCUAGCGGAUUUCCCUGUAAGAACAAAAAAAAAAAUGUACUAUGUUUUAAAUGUCGUUCACUUUUGUGUGCAACUACUAUAGUAAAUUGUUUAAACGUCGGCGAACGAAGUGGAAUGGUAAUUGAUUAGUAACAACGGGCGAAUCGGAGUGCGUUCAGCCAUGCGGUUGAGAGUGCUAGCAGACGUUAUUAUUAUUCAGUGGAUUCUAAAGAGCAACUUGUUGUCAAGUAGUAGAAAAGAAAGAUGAAAGCUCUUACGUAUUUCACGAACCCUCGCACGUAAUAAGCAGCUACCCAGAAUUGAAGCAAGUGGUAAUACCGAGAAGAUUAAAUUCAGAUUAAAAAAUUUUAACACGUUUGGCAGUGCUGCUUUCCACGCACACACACCAGGUUGAGCAAAGGCAUAACCAGUUGGUGAACCAAGUAAGUAACCUUUGAAAAUAUACCGUGUAUGGGCAACUUGAAUGUUAUGAUGAUCAAGUUCACCCAAUAGCCCAUAAGAAAAGGAAUAAAGUUCACAUUUCAAACAGUCGACGUCUAUACAACUAAACCUCAUAGGGGGGGAAAAUGGCUGCUCCAGUGCACAUACAUGCCAGUGCCAUAGUAUUGGCCAGCAUUUGAUCCCGGCCGAGGAAAAAAAUGGGGCGAGGCGGUGGUGGUUGGUGAUAACUGAUAAGAGAUCCUUUUUUCCGACAUUUUCAAGAACAUACAUUUUCUAUUUAUUUUUUUUUAUUAUUAUUUUUUUUAGAUAUGCUGAAAAGAUCAGACGACGUUGCCAGCCAACGCAUAGAAUCUUUCAACUCUCUCUUUUCGAAAAAAAACAAAACUCUCGAACACGACAGACAUGUAUAUUUUUCAAGAGAUCGAAAGAAGUAAAGAAAUGAGUCUCUAUUCCAAGUGUGUUGGGGCGAGGCUUAGGCAAAUGAGCCGAAAGAAACAGCUGGCUCCCCCCGUCCCUGUUUUGUCCAUACAGCUAUAAAGCCUAUACAGCAAACCAUCCCGAGCAAAAAAAAAAAAAAGUUUACGGGACUAAAAGAGAGGAAAAAGGAAAAGUUACGUGCCUCGAUAUCGUUCAUCGUCAUGCACGAUGACGUCAUAUAGGGAAGGGGGGAUUCUCUGGUGUUCCAUGUGUGAAAGGGGUGGAAGUGCAGUCGCUGAUUUAUAGCUCCAGAUCUUGAUAUAUUUGACUGGGGAACCGGUGAUACACAUAAAAAUACAUAAUAAACCCAUUACGUACAUGCAAUUCCCGAAAUGAUGCGUACAUUUACAGAAAUGACACGCCUCUUUCAAGAAAAAAAAUGUCAAUACAAUUCUCCCAGCUUGUCCUACACAGUCUGUGUGGGUGGAAAUCAUCAAGUGUUUACAUUUUUCGGUCUGAAACGACCAUUGAACUUUUGUUCACUGGAUGUGGGUAGAAAAGGAAAAGAAAAAAAAAAAUCUCUUAUUUCUUUUCAAUAUCGAAGCAUUGAAAUCCAUAUAACCAGCAACCCUUCACAGAAGAAAAAAAAAUUAAAAACGAUUUUUUUUUUUCAUUGCUGACGGAUCGAUGCAUGAAUGCGGCCAUUGUUGUUGCCGUCUGAACUAUGGCGAAGGCACAUAAUCUCAAAGAACUAUCAUCGUCUGAACGUAAAAGCCUCUUGUUGAUAGAAAAAGGAUGCAGAAGCUGAAAAGCAGAGCGAGAAAACGUCGAUACGAAGUCCAGCAUCCAGCAACAUCGUGAAACUAUAAAGGGUGGGGCUAAGCAGCACGCAGCAUGUGGUUUCAAUUAGCCACUCUUCUCAUUCCAUCUAAUCCUCAGCACACACACACACACACCGGCCCCCUAUAUACUCGUCUCCUCUUUGCAUUGAAACCGUUCUUUUGUUCCCAUUUAUAACAAUCGUCAUUAUACAUUACUGUGUGUGUACUUCUCUUAAGUCACCUAAAGUAAGUAUAGGGGCAUUUAGUGCCACAUCAGAAAAUAGAUGAUGAUGUCAAUGUAAAGGGCAUUCAAUACGCGCAGAACAAAAGAUACGAGUUAAACGGAUCGGAAAUGAAAGUCUGUCCAGUUAUGAUUACACAUGUACACCAUUGUCCGUUAACCCCUCCUUUUUUGUCACGAACGUAGGCUACGUUAUACUGAGCUACGACCUUUUUGCUUUUCAGCAUACGGGAAAUGAACGUGUCGACCGAGCGUCUGCAGUCCCCGGAUCUAUCACCGACAUACAGGCAUCCAUUGUGAUCUAUACGUACAUCGGAAUAUAAGAUUUUUUUUUUCCUCUUUUUUUGGUUGAACAGGAGACGUAGCAAACAAGACAAGAAUCUCUGUGAGGAUGCUUCCGCUUGGAUUGGUUGUUGGUUUAAAAAAAAAAAAAAAAGAGGGGCUCCUAGAGAUGUGACAUUAUCAUCGGGGAAAAAAGCGUACACAAAAUGUGUCUCUUUGCAUCAAUUCAAAAACGUAUGUAGUCCAUUUCUUUUUGUGCGUGAUGCUGUGGGGGCCUUUUCAGUUGUUUGGAGCUUUAUUCCGCACAUCCUUUUUUUCUUUGAAAAUGGACUUGCAUAAUAAGACACCCCGACGAAUAUGCCUUGUGUCGAACAUAAAAUAAAAAAUCUGUAGAAAAAAGGAAAAAAAAAAAAAUGUUUUCCAUUAAAAUGAAAAAAAAAAAAAAAAUUUAUAUCAAUGAGUGUGGAAAUCCUUUCGUUUUGCUGGCGGCGUCGAGAAUCCAAUUAUACUCCUGACUGGGUUCGCUUCGUGCUUCUUGUGUAAUAAUAACAGCAGCCUCAAAUUUAAAUAUCCCCCUUUUUCUUUUCUUCUUCUUUUAAAACUUUGUUCCUGGACGCUGGAUGAUUUCAAAUCGAUAAAGAACAGCAUUUAAUCUUUUCUUCUUCUUCUUUUUUUUUUUAUUCUUAACAAAAACAAAACAUUUUUCUUUUCUCGAAUAGAUUAUGCGACUAUUUAAAUGGAGCCAGACAGCCAAGAGAAUCGAGCUGCGGCACCGCUUCGAUUGAAUAACUUCCCUGCCCGCUAUAUAUGUAUACGACACGUGCAACGCCCUACCCAAAUUCAAUAUAUUUUCCCCUGCCAUUGAAGAUUGACAUCUUUACGGCGUCAACCUCUGUACGUGUACACAAUCCAACAUUUUUUUUUCUUUCUAAAAAAAUAAAAAACAAAACAAAAUAAAUAAAUAAA
This 3553-nucleotide long non-coding RNA is filed under the name Daphnia magna. RNAcentral describes it as "uncharacterized LOC116915643, transcript variant X2". The record is from RNAcentral. Lineage: Eukaryota; Metazoa; Arthropoda; Branchiopoda; Diplostraca; Daphniidae.